This 174-nucleotide non-coding RNA is filed under the name uncultured Enterocloster sp. RNAcentral describes it as "6S / SsrS RNA". It matches the Rfam family "6S / SsrS RNA". From Rfam's summary of the family: E. coli 6S RNA was the first non coding RNA to be sequenced, but its function was unknown until recently. The record is from RNAcentral. Lineage: Bacteria; Bacillati; Bacillota; Clostridia; Lachnospirales; Lachnospiraceae.
UUACCUGGGGUGUUCGAUAUUCUUACCAAUUUUGAACCUACAUUAGACAAAAGGGAUUCCAAUAUUUUUAGACGGAUGUCAGGCCUCCUGUUUGAGUGGAAGGCAGAAGCCUAAGUGAGGUUGCCCACCUAGCAUUGCUAGGCGUCAAUAAGUAAGAGACGGCAUCUUGGGGUU